This 254-nucleotide ribosomal RNA is filed under the name uncultured bacterium. RNAcentral's name for it is "partial 16S ribosomal RNA". It matches the Rfam family "Bacterial small subunit ribosomal RNA", at positions 524 to 776 of the family's 1533-position model. The record is from RNAcentral.
UACGUAGGGUGCAAGCGUUGUCCGGAAUUAUUGGGCGUAAAGGGCUCGUAGGCGGUCUGUCACGUCGGGAGUGAAAACUCAGGGCUUAACCCUGAGCCUGCUUCCGAUACGGGCAGACUAGAGGUAUGCAGGGGAGAACGGAAUUCCUGGUGUAGCGGUGAAAUGCGCAGAUAUCAGGAGGAACACCGGUGGCGAAGGCGGGUCUCUGGGCCGAUACUGACGCUGAGGAGCGAAAGCGUGGGGGAGCGAACAGG